CAUUACCGAGGGGGGGACUCUGUUCCAUCCUAAACCGUGGUCUCUGUACUUUGUUGCUUUGGCGGUCCCACGGGGAAACCCGGUCGCCGGGGGACGCUCGUCCCCGGGCCCGCGCCCGCCGAAGCGCCCUGUGAACCCUGAUGAAGAUGGGCUGUCUGAGUAUUAUGAAAAUUGUCAAAUCUUUCAACCAUGGAUCUCUUGGUUCCGGCUUGGAUGAUUAGCGAUUCGAAAUGCGAUGAGUGAUGGGAAGUGCAGAAUUCCGUGAAUCAUCGAAUCUUUGAACGCAAUUUGCGUCCCCUGGCAUUCCGGGGGGCAUGCCUGUCCGAGCGUCAUUUCUGCCCUCAAGCGCGGCUUGUGUGUUGGGUGCGGUCCCCCCGGGAACGUGCCCGAAAGGUCGUCGGAACGUCCGUGCGGUCCUCGAGCGUAUGGGGCUUUGUCCCUCUGACGUUAAGGACCUGCGGGGGUUGGUCACCACCACAUUUUACCACGGUUGACCUCGGAUCAGGUAGGAGUUACCCGCUGAACUUAAGCAUAUCAAUAAGCGGAGGAA
Molecule: ribosomal RNA, 550 nt
Filed under: uncultured fungus
Lineage: Eukaryota; Fungi
Description: eukaryotic LSU rRNA
Rfam family: 5.8S ribosomal RNA (bases 179-332)
Source: RNAcentral